RNAcentral lists this ribosomal RNA (498 nucleotides) under Anelosimus elegans. Its description in RNAcentral is "partial 16S ribosomal RNA". The stretch from base 105 to 404 matches the Rfam family "Bacterial large subunit ribosomal RNA", at positions 2074 to 2646 of the family's 2925-position model. Lineage: Eukaryota; Metazoa; Arthropoda; Arachnida; Araneae; Theridiidae. The record is from RNAcentral.
UUUGUUUUUUAAUUAAAAACUAGAAUGAAAGGUUAUACAUUCAAAUUUCUUUAUUAAUUUUUAAUAAAUAAUUUAUAUUAAAUAUAAAAAUAUAUUUAUAAAAAAAAAAGACGACAAGACCCUAUUAAAUUUUACUUAUAGUUUAGCUGGGGAAGCUUUUCAAUUAAAAUUUUUUAAAUUAAAUAAAUAAAAAUCUAAUAAAAUUAAAAUUUUAAUAAAUUACUAUAGGGAUAACAGCAUUAUAUUUUUUUAAAGUUCAUAUUAAAAAAAAUGAUUGUGACCUCGAUGUUGAAUUAUAUUUUCUAUAUUUAAUGCAAUAAUUAUAAAAGUAGAUCUGUUCGAUCUUUAAAAUAUUACAUGAUUUGAGUUCAAACCGGUGUAAACCAGGUUGGUUUUUAUCUUUUUAUAUAUUUUUCUAGUACGAAAGGACAAAAAAAUUUUUAUUUUAAUAAAUUAGCAAAUAAAUGCAUUAGAUUUAGAAUCUAAUUAUAUUUAAUA